Bubalus bubalis (water buffalo) is the source of this 2015-nucleotide long non-coding RNA. RefSeq lists it as uncharacterized. NCBI's taxonomy places the organism in Eukaryota, Metazoa, Chordata, Mammalia, Artiodactyla, Bovidae. The record is from RefSeq and is a predicted model, not a curated record. The transcript has 2 exons.
GGGGUUGCAAAGAGUUGGACACGACUGAGCAAUUUGAAUUCCUUCCUUGGAUUUAGCAACCUCAUGCCAUUCUGCUGAUAACUUUUAUGAAAAAAAAAAAAAAUCUCUUCUAUAAGAAAUGCAGCAUUUACACAUAGUAGGCACCAAAUACAUGUCAGUAGAUCGUGACAACAAUGAACAUGAGGUUGAAAAAAAGUGAGCCUCCCAAAUCUCAGAGCCAAAUGAACAGAAUAAAUGUGAAUAAGGUUGAAAAUACUACUUAAAAAAAAAAAAACUAUUUCAUUUGCCAGAGGGCUAGAUCUUCCACUUUAUAUUUUGUUCAAGGAUUUAGCUGCCCUAAGAUAAUCAUAACUUGGAACUUGGACAUGUGACCUGGGAAGUUUGGGGUGGCUGUUUCAUUGGUUACAUCUCCUGAGAAAAAUUCUCAGGCUAGGAAAAAAUACUCUGACAGUGACAUGCAAAGGCUGGUACUUAUAACUACCAUCCUCAAUGUUUAGGGGAAAGGAGUUUUAAUGACGGGCCAAAGAACAGAUGUCAAAUCCCCAGCCAUCCUUCUGCCAUUUGCUGUUUGUUAUGAGUCACCCUGGAGCCCAUCCAUCCCGGCACCAAUUUUCAUGGGAAGCAUUGAUGUGUGACCAGAAGUGUGUGCUGAUGGAUGGAUUCACGUGAGGAUAGCCGGAAGACUGGGCCUCAGGCUUCCGUCGGCUCUGGCCUUCCUUGCUUCUUUGGUCAUUUUGCUCCCCUUCCCCCACAUCCCUCCUCCAUCCCCUUUGUUCUUCCCUCCAAGUUGGAUUUUCACAGUGAAUGUGAUCUCUCAUUUCAGUUCCUGCAACCCUGGCUCAUCAAAUACAGAAGGGCUGCAGAAACACCUCUGCUUAGGACACUUGUGUGUGUGGUCCAUGCCAGCCAUCGGUGGCAAGAGUUCUAAGAAGGGAGAGGGCCAUCUCCUGGACAGCAGUGGGAAGAGAGAUGUGCACGAAAAAGACGAGGGAGAUUCGACCAUCCGAGGGUCAAGACACAGAAAUUCGAACUGGCCCAGAGCGACCUUACUUGGCGCAGAGAAUCAUUUACCGAACGAGCGAGGGUGUGCGGAUACGGGAGCUAUUCUUAAAAGACAGAGUGAUGAACAGCUGAACCUGAAGUCGAAAAACGAUCCAAACUUUGAUUCCUUUCUGUGGACUUGUUCGAAUUGAAAGGCCGAUUGUAAGCAAAAAACAACUUGAAUUUGCUGAUGGAGGUCUUGUUAAAAGAGGCCAACAGGAGUACAAGACACAUGGCGAUUAAAUCGCUACGUGAUGCGACUAUUUUUCGGAGACGUUCUAAAGAACUUUCCUAUUACUUUUUUAAGGUGCGGAAUUUAGUUAAACAACUACUACAGCUAACAUUCUAAGAUAACGUGGUUACUUUCCUAAUAUAAAAAUUCAUAGGUUCCGAUUGUGUAACAUAAACAACAGAACAAAAUCAGGCUAGACAACUAAGUCCCCUUAUGUAAAUGCCUAACUCCAUCAUUCAAAUAUAGUUGGUUUGUAUAGUAAAUCUAAAUCACAGGGCCAAGCUUAGCUGCCCUUUCGUGAAGAAUAUCUCAACUUUCCUGAAGCCUCAAAGAAGACAUACUGCAAUGUCAGUAUUUUGUUCUUUAGAGGGAAUAAAUUGCCCUUUGCAGCCACCUCAGUUGCUCAGGAAUGAGAUGUGCUAAGCAUUCAUAUGAGAAGAUUUUGGAAGAUGGUGCAGGUGUGGGCUGACUUAAAUUACUUGCUUUUGUGCUUUUCUAAAAGGUCAAAAAGGAUCUGGUUUAGGGAAGACAGAGAGAAUAAGACUUUUCAACAUGAGUUAAAAUGCCCAUGUGCCCAGCUUCAGAUGGAGGAAAUAAUACAAACCUGAUAAAGCAUUUAGCUGAUGCAUCCUGAAAAAUGAUAUACCUAUCAGCAUGCAUGUCAUCAAUCAAAAAUUAUUUAAUAUUUGCAUUCAAUUAACCAAAUGACUCCACCAGUUUGACACUUUUCACAAAUCAGCAA